RNAcentral lists this transfer RNA (71 nucleotides) under Stegodyphus mimosarum. It matches the Rfam family "tRNA". From Rfam's summary of the family: Transfer RNA (tRNA) molecules are approximately 80 nucleotides in length. Their secondary structure includes four short double-helical elements and three loops (D, anti-codon, and T loops). Lineage: Eukaryota; Metazoa; Arthropoda; Arachnida; Araneae; Eresidae. The record is from Rfam by way of RNAcentral.
GCCUUCGUGGUGUAACGGUAGCACACUCGGCUCGUAUUCGAGAGGUCCAGGUUCGAGUCCUGGGAAGAGCA